This 306-nucleotide long non-coding RNA is filed under the name Junco hyemalis (dark-eyed junco). RNAcentral describes it as "lncRNA (ENSJHYG00000009174.1)". The record is from RNAcentral. Lineage: Eukaryota; Metazoa; Chordata; Aves; Passeriformes; Passerellidae.
CUUUCCAGAACAUCUAUGCUCUAACCAGUUCGUUUUGUUUCUGGUUUUGUCCCACCAGUAUUGAUGUCACUUGAAAAUCUGAUUGUCAACAUCAUGAAAACAGUGCUAGGAAAAGCCACAAAAUAUUGCACAAGACCCAGAAGGACUGAAAGUUGGAGGAUUUCUUUCAGGGGAUAUAUUGUUUUCACUGGUUUAUCAGACAGACCAUCACUUCCUGCAUCCCAGGGUUAUAAGGACAAGUUCAACUUGCAUCAUCCUUCUCCAUUUCCUCAGCUGGCAUUCAACUUCCAGUUGGAUGCAUCAUGA